GGUCGACGAUCCUACGGGAGGCAGCAGUGGGGAAUAUUGCACAAUGGGCGAAAGCCUGAUGCAGCGACGCCGCGUGAGGGAUGACGGCCUUCGGGUUGUAAACCUCUUUCAGCAGGGACGAAGCGAGAGUGACGGUACCUGCAGAAGAAGCACCGGCUAACUACGUGCCAGCAGCCGCGGUAA
RNAcentral lists this ribosomal RNA (183 nucleotides) under uncultured bacterium. RNAcentral's name for it is "partial 16S ribosomal RNA". It matches the Rfam family "Bacterial small subunit ribosomal RNA", at positions 328 to 523 of the family's 1533-position model. The record is from RNAcentral.